RNAcentral lists this non-coding RNA (29 nucleotides) under Mus musculus (house mouse). The record is from RNAcentral. Lineage: Eukaryota; Metazoa; Chordata; Mammalia; Rodentia; Muridae.
UGUUUUUCAGGCAGUGAAGAGUUAGAGGA